This 483-nucleotide long non-coding RNA is filed under the name Ananas comosus (pineapple). RNAcentral describes it as "long non-coding RNA (ACOM_LNC000383)". The record is from RNAcentral. Lineage: Eukaryota; Viridiplantae; Streptophyta; Magnoliopsida; Poales; Bromeliaceae.
AUUAAAGUAAUAUGAAAUAACUGUCAUUCUCCAAGCUAGAGUUAACAAAGAAUAAUUUUUAUAUAUUUUUUAUUCAACACUCUACCUCACGGUUAGGCUGUUUGGGCUCAAAACUUUUAAUAGGCUCAACAUUUGACUUAAAGUAAAUGGGAGAAAAAUGAAGGACUAUUUUGUAUUGAGGUUUAUAUAAAGCUAAUAGGCAAAAUAGAGUUACGACGAAAGUAUAUAGAGAUAUGCUUGUCAUUUUUUCGAUAGGAUCAUAAAAAAUAUAUUAUAACCGACUCAUUGCGAUAAUACAACAAUCUCUCCGUAAUUCUAAAUAGAGUCCUAGAUGAGACCAUGGGUCACGACCUCAUAUUCUAAUAUAUGUUAAAGAUUAUGAAAUAAUUAAUUUUAUUUAAAAGCUUAAACUAUUAGAAAAUUGUAUUACAUAUUUUCAUAUUCAACAGAUGGUAUUAUUAAAAAAAUUACUCUUAUUUUAAC